UGGGGAAUCUUGCACAAUGGGGGCAACCCUGAUGCAGCGACGCCGCGUGAGCGAUGAAGCCCUUCGGGGUGUAAAGCUCUUUCGGCAGGGACGAUAAUGACGGUACCUGCAGAAGCAGCUGCGGCUAACUACGUGCCAGCAGCCGCGGUAAUACGUAGGCAGCGAGCGUUGUUCGGAGUUACUGGGCGUAAAGGGUGUGUAGGCGGUUUUCUAAGUUUGGUGUGAAAUCUCCCGGCUUAACCGGGAGGGUGCGCCGAAAACUGGGAGACUAGAGUGCGGGAUGGGAGAGUAGAAUUCCUGGUGUAGCGGUGAAAUGCGUAGAUAUCAGGAGGAAUACCGGUGGUGCAGACGGCUCUCUGGACCGCAACUGACGCUGAGACACGAAAGCGUGGGUAGCAAACA
RNAcentral lists this ribosomal RNA (402 nucleotides) under uncultured Candidatus Solibacter sp. RNAcentral describes it as "bacterial SSU rRNA". It matches the Rfam family "Bacterial small subunit ribosomal RNA", at positions 355 to 774 of the family's 1533-position model. The record is from RNAcentral. Lineage: Bacteria; Pseudomonadati; Acidobacteriota; Terriglobia; Bryobacterales; Solibacteraceae.